RNAcentral lists this ribosomal RNA (258 nucleotides) under uncultured bacterium. RNAcentral's name for it is "partial 16S ribosomal RNA". It matches the Rfam family "Bacterial small subunit ribosomal RNA", at positions 96 to 354 of the family's 1533-position model. The record is from RNAcentral.
UGGCGGACGGGUGAGUAACGCGUGGGUAACCUGCCUCAUACAGGGGGAUAACAGUUAGAAAUGACUGCUAAUACCGCAUAAGACCACAGUGCCGCAUGGCACAGGGGCCAAAGCCUUGACGGUAUGAGAUGGACCCGCGUCUGAUUAGGUAGUUGGUGGGGUAACGGCCUACCAAGCCGACGAUCAGUAGCCGACCUGAGAGGGUGACCGGCCACAUUGGGACUGAGACACGGCCCAAACUCCUACGGAAGGCAGCAG